GUGCCAGCAGCCGCGGUAAUACCGGCACCUCAAGUGGUCGUCGCUUUUAUUGGGCCUAAAACGUCCGUCGCCUGUUUGGUACAUUCGUGGGUAAAUCAAGCCGCUCAACGGCUUGAAUUCUGCGGGGACGGCCAGACUAGGGACCGGGAGAGGUAUGGGGUACUCUCAGGGUAGGGGUAAAAUCCAGUCAUCCUGAGGGGACCACCUGUUGCGAAGGCGCCAUACUAGAACGGAUCCGACGGUCAGGGACGAAGCCUAGGGGCACGAACCGGAUUAGAUACCCGGGUAGUCCUAGGUGUAAACGCUGUGGACUUGAUGUUGGGGGUGCUCCGAGCACUCUCAGUGUCGAAGCGAAGGUGAUAAGUCCACUGCCUGGGAAGUACAGUCGCAAGGCUGAAACUUAAAGGAGUUGGCGGGGGAGCACCGCAACCUGAGGAUUGUGCGGUUUAAUUGGAUUCAACGCCGGAAAACUCACCAUAGCCGACGGACAUAUGAAGGUCAGUGUAAUGAACUUACCCGAUUGUUCGAGAGGUAGUGCAUGGCCGCCGUCAGUUCGUACCGCAAGGCGUUCUGUUAAGUCAGAUAACGAACGAGACCCUCAUCUCUAUUUGCUAACUAGAUCUCCAGAUUUAGUGCACUAUAGAGAGUCCGCUGGCGCUAAGUCAGAGGAAGGGGAGGGCAACGGUAGGUCAGUAUGCUCCGAAUGCUAUGGGCUACACGCGCAAUACAAAGGACGGGACAAUGGGCUGCUGCUCCGAAAGGAACGAUAGCUAUCCCGAAACCCGUUCGUAGUUCGGAUUGAGGGCUGUAACUCGCCCUCAUGAAGCUGGAUUAGGUAGUAAUCGCGUCUCAAAAAGGCGCGGUGAAUAUGCCCCUGCUCCUUGCACUCACCGCCCGUC
RNAcentral lists this ribosomal RNA (899 nucleotides) under uncultured marine archaeon. RNAcentral's name for it is "SSU rRNA". It matches the Rfam family "Archaeal small subunit ribosomal RNA", at positions 455 to 1354 of the family's 1478-position model. The record is from RNAcentral.